Non-coding RNA from Balaenoptera acutorostrata (minke whale), 73 nucleotides. NCBI's taxonomy places the organism in Eukaryota, Metazoa, Chordata, Mammalia, Artiodactyla, Balaenopteridae. The record is from the annotation of a RefSeq genome assembly.
UCCCUGGUAGUCAAGUGGGUAGGACUCCGCUCUCCGAAUACGGGGGGCCCAGGUUCGAUCCCUGGUCAGGGAA